This 5431-nucleotide long non-coding RNA is filed under the name Phoenix dactylifera (date palm). RNAcentral describes it as "long non-coding RNA (PDAC_LNC007371)". The record is from RNAcentral. Lineage: Eukaryota; Viridiplantae; Streptophyta; Magnoliopsida; Arecales; Arecaceae.
CUCUUCACACAUAACGAAAAAAAUGCAGGGGCAGAGAUCUCCUUGAUGAGUCCUCUUGGAGAAGCAAAUAGAAGAAAAGCUUCACCAUUUAUUUGAAUUCUGAAUGUCACAAUAGAUGCAUAAGAUUAGAUGCAUUUCCUCCAUUAUGGUCAAAAUUCAAUGGCUUAGAGCAUGCAAUCGACUGCCAAUCAGUUGAGCUGUUCAUACACGCUGGUCAUGUUCAGCCGAAUGUCCUUGAUCAUGUUCUCUAGCAUGACCAGUGAUUGCUCUCUAAUGAUCAUCUUACCUUAGCAUCUUUUUUAAAUAGAGAAUAUGAUUAGAUCAUCUACUUAUGUAGAAUAACAAUAUUUUUGUGUGAAACCAGGGAGGAGACGACGGAAUAGGAACACUACAAUCGGAUGAACAAAGAUUGGAAUACCUGUUAUCUCAUUCCUCUUUGAUAAUACAAAUAUUUAUAGAAUCUGAUCAUAAAACAGAUCGCUUUAUUCUUAGAAACUACAAGCUAAAUUAAAGGGAUAAGAGAGAGAAACAAAUAAAUUUAAACUAGCCAAAAAAAGCAGCAAUCACAACCGACCAAAUCUGAAAAUUAUUCUCUUCAACAGAUUUGGUUUUAAACCGAGAUUGAAUCAGAUCAAAUCUGAUCACACUAAUCACGGAAGGAUUCGUGAUUUCAACACUCCCCCUCAAGCUGGGCUAUAUAUAUCGAACAAACCCAGCUUGUCAACCAAUUUCUCGAAUGCAGGUUUGAAGAGUCCCUUUGUUAGUAAAUCUGCAGCUUGUUCAGACGAAGGUAUAUAAACCAUACAAAUCAUUCCUUCUUCUAUCUUCUCUUUGAUAAAGUGACGAUCCACCUCAACAUGUUUUUUCCUAUCAUGAUGAACUGGAUUGUGUGAUAUUGCAAUUGCUGCCUUGUUAUCCCAAUAGACUUUCAUGGGUUCAUUCUUCUCAAUUCUGAGUUCUUGUAACAAUAGUUUCAACCACAUUAUUUUACAAAUCCCAUGGGCUACAGCCCUGAAUUCUGCCUCUGCACUGCUUCUUGCUACAACUGCUUGCUUCUUACUCCUCCAGGUCACUAGGUUGCCCCAUACAAAGGUACAAUAUCUAGUGGUUGAUCAUCUAUCUUUUACUGAACCUGCCCAGUCUGCAUCUGUAAAUGUUUCAACAGUCCUUUCCUUAUUCUUUCUGAAAAGUAGACCACGUCCUGGAGUUCCUUUCAAGUAUCUCAAAAUCUGGUAGACAGCAUCCAUAUGUUCUACAAAAGGUGCAUGCAUAAACUGACUUACCACAUUUACAGCGAAGGCGAUGUCAGGUCUAGUAUGAGAAAGAUAAAUGAGCUUUCCUACUAGACGUUGAUACCUUCCUUUAUCAACAGGUGUGCUACCUAGGCAGUCGCCCAACUUCUGAUUUGGAUUUAUAGGAGUAUCAGCAGGUUUACUUCCAAGCAUGCAUGUCUCUUUUAAAAGAUCCAACACAUAUUUUCUCUGUGAUACUGAGAUGCCACUUCUAUUUCUAGCCAUCUCCAUUCCAAGAAAAUAUCGUAAAGAACCCAGAUCUUUUAUUUCAAACUCGGUUGCAAGAGUUCUCUUUAAUCUUUCCAUUUCUUCAUAGUCAUCACCUGUUAAGAUUAUAUCAUCCACAUAAACAAUCAAAACAGUAAUCUUAUCCCCUAUAUACCUGUAGAACAUAGUAUGAUCAGAUUGAGCUUGUUUGUAUCCCUGUUGACAUAUAGUUUUCAUAAAUCUACCAAACCAUGCCCGCGGGGAUUGCUUCAAUCCAUAUAGAGAUUUUCUGAGUCUGCAAACUUUUUCCUGAACUCUAGCUUCAUCAAAACCUGGUGGCAAUUCCAUAUACACUUCUUCCUCUAAGUCUCCAUUUAGGAAAACAUUCUUCACAUCAAGUUGUUGAAGCUUCCAAUCUAGAUUUGCAGCAAGUGAUAGGAGAACCCUUACAGUGUUUAACUUUGCUACUGGUGCAAAGGUCUUCCGAUAAUCUACGCCAUAGGUUUGAGAAAAACCUUUUGCCACUAAUCUUGCUUUGUAGUGCUCAAUCGAGCCAUCUGACUUGUAUUUGAUGGUAAACACCCAUUUGCAGCCAACUGGUGAUUUUUCUUUCAGUUUUUUCACAACUUGCCAAGUCCCAUUUUUUUCUAGUGCUGACAUCUCUUCCUCAAUUGCUUUUUUCUACUCUGGAAUUGACAAGGCCUCCUGAAUAGACUUAGGUAUUUUUGAGGAUGAUAAAUUUGCAACAAGAGUCCUGACCGGUUUAGAUAAGUGGCUAUAGGCAAUGAAAUUGGAGAUCGGAUGUUGUGUGCAAGACCGAACACCUUUCCUUAGAGCUAUAGGAACAUCCAAAUCAUUGCUAGUAGAAUCAAAGUGUGGAGUAGAGUAAUUAUCAUUACCUAAUAUCGGUUCAGAUUCAUGACUUUGUAGUUGGUCCGUGAGGUGUUCUACUAUCUGAGGGUUAUUCCUCCUUGAAUAAACACGGAGCUCUGGUGGUGCUUGGAGUUGCUCAUCUCCCCCUAUCAUUGAACUUUCUUGAUUUGUUGAAGGUUGAGUAGGAGUAACUGGAUUUUUAGACUCGAAUUCAGAAAUGGGGAGAAGAGGAGAGGGGGUAGUUGUUUCCCAAAAAUUUCCAUCACUAUUAUGCUCCCCCUGAGGGAAAUUUUGUGAAAAAAAUGGUUGAUUUUCAAAAAACGCGACAUCCAUUGAGGUAUAAUACUUAUGAGUUUCUGGAGAGUAACACUUAUAUCCCUUUUGAUUAGGUGAAUAGCCUAAGAAAAUACACUUUCUAGCUUUAGGAUGUAAUUUGGUUCUUUCAUAAUCAUAAAUGUGAGUAAAUGAAGUACAUCCAAACACUUUUAAAGGUAAUGACACGAUAGCUCUAUUUUUCGGGUAAGUGUUUAGGAAGACAUUUAGAGGGGUUUCAUAAUUAUGAACUCUGGUUGGCAUCCUGUUUAUUAGGUAACAAGCAGUAAGUACUGCAUCCCCCCAAAAAUAUUUUGGAACUUUGCUUGUAAACAUAAAGGCUCUAGCUGUUUCGAGAAGGUGACGAUUUUUCCUUUCGGCAAUCCCAUUUUGUUGUGGGGUUAUAAUACAUGAGCUUUGAUGAAUAAUCCCUUUUUCUAGAAGAAAUUUCCCUAAGAUAAGAUUGAAAUACUCACGCCCAUUGUCUGUUCGAAGGAUUUUUAUACUUGUAUCAUAAUGGGUUUUUAUCAUGGAAUGAAAGUUUUUAAAAACAUCCUCAGCUUCUGACUUUUCCUUUAAAAGAUAAACCCAACAUAAUCUUAUAUGAUCAUCAGUAAAUGUUAUGAACCACCUUUUUCCCAUUAUGUGUUUAAUCUUAGACGGACCCAAAUGUCACUAUGAAUCAAGGUAAAAGGAGAAGAUGCCUUAUAGUUAUGAGAUGGAAAUGAAGAAUGUGAAUGUUUAGCAAUUUGACAAAUAUCACAUUGAAAUAAAUCUGUAUUACGAAACAAAGUUGGAAACAAAUUCUUUAAAUACGAAAAAUUUGGAUAACCUAGCCUACGAUGGCAUAACAUUAUUUGUUGUUCUUUAGGAAUAGACUCACAACUCAUGGUUUGAGCUUGUUUAUUCAAGAUGGCUUCUUCUUCGAAAUAGUAUAGUCCCUCACGUUCUUUAGCAUUGCCAAUCCUCUUCCCCGAAAUCAAGUCCUGAAAAAAGCACAUAGACUCAGUAAAAUGAACACCACAUUUUAAAUCUCUAGUCAAUUUACUAAUGGAAAGAAGAUUGCAAGUUAAAUUAGGGACAUGUAAAACAGAGCGCAAAUCAAUAGAUGGACUAAUCUUAAUAGUCCCAACUCCGGCAACAGUUGAAAGAGAUCCAUCUGCAAUUUUUACUUUGAAAUUUCCUUAACUUGGUGAAUAGGAACAAAACAAUCUUUCCCACCCAGUCAUGUGAUUCGUGGCCCCUGAGUCAAUAACCCAAGGUUCAAUUUUGCUGCUCUUACGUGCUGAAAUAAAAUUGCCUCGUUGAGCAAGUAAAGAACCCGAAGAAGUGGCUGCUGCAGGGGCAAGAGUGAGCAAUUUGUACAACUGCUCUAAUUGAUCCUUGGUAAGGGAAAGCUGCAUGUUUUCAACAGAAGGUCUAGGCAGUGAACCCUCGGUUGAACUCUGAUAGCUAGCAGUGUCUCAAGGAUUCGAUCUUGUGUCCUCACGAUACCCCUGUCUGCUGUCUUCUUGGUUACCUUGCCUUGCAGGCCGUCCAUGCAGUUUCCAGUGCUUGUCCUUGGUGUGAUUUGGUUUCUUACAAUAAUCACACCAAACAUUGCUUCUCCUAUUUAGUCGAAAUGUCUCCUGUCCAUGAGCAGCAAGUGCUGAAGUUUCAGUCAGCAGGUUCUUUGAUCCCCCGAGCAUGACUCGUUUUCGGCUAGCCUCCCUGUGUACUUCAGCAAAGAUCUCAGCAAUCAAUGGUGGGGGCUUUAUACCAAGCAGGCGACCUCGUACCUCAUCUAACUCCGGAUUCAACCGAGCCAAGAAGUCAUAAAUCCUCUCCUUCUCGAUUUGUUUUCUGUAUUUCUCAACAUCUCCAGGUGUUUCCCAAUCAAUUUGAACAAACAAAUCAAUUUCCUUCCAUAGCCUUGUGAGAGCAUUGUAAUACUGGGUAACAUCUUGUUCUCCUUGUCGUAACUCAUGUGCUCUAUUCCGAAGCUCAAACAAUUGAGCCGAAUUUUCAAGAUCGGAGAAUGUCAUAGUUAGGGCAUCCCAAAGCUCCUUGGCUGUAGCAUGGUAUAGGUGAGAUUCCCUAAUGUCCUCCUCCAUAGAAUUAACAAUCCAUGCCAUUACCAUGGAAUUUUGAGCAUCCCAGGUUGCAUAGGCUGCAUCUCCUUCAGCCGGUUGCUUUGUUGCUUCCGUAAUGUAGCCAAGCCGUCCACGUCCUCAGAUAACCAUUAAAGCGGAAUGGGACCAUUGGAGAAAAUUGGUGCUAUUGAGACGGGUUGUGGUGAUCUGUAGAGGUGAGUUUUCUGGAAAGUUUGCAGACGGCAUAUUGACGGUGGUUGUAGUGGGUGCGCUUGUAGGGUUGGGUCCAGAAGUCUCUGUAGAGCCUCUGGACUCCUCAUCUCUGCGCGCACCGGUCAUGGCUGAUUUAGCCAUUCCUCUAUCUCAAACAACCCUUGGCUCUGAUACCAUGAAACGGGGGAGGAGACGACGGAAUAGGAACACUACAAUUGGAUGAACAAAGAUUGGAAUACAUGUUAUCUCAUUCCUCUUUGAUAAUACAAAUAUUUAUAGAAUCUGAUCAUAAAACAGAUCCCUUUAUUCUUGGAAACUACAAGCUAAAUUAAAGGGAUAAGAGAGAGAAACAAAUAAAUUUAAACUAGCCAAAAAAAGCAGCAAUCACAACCGACCAAAUCUGAAAAUUAUUCUCUUCAACAGAUUUGGUUUUAAACCGAGAUUGAAUCAGAUCAAAUCUGA